GGGGUGUGCUCAGAGCAGGGGGCCUGAAGAAAUAUGGCUGUUCUGUUUACAACACCCCCGACAGGAAUCUGGGUUCAUUGUGAUAAGGGGCACAAAACUUGUGGCCUUCCUAUGAACAAAUACCCAACACGU
Molecule: small nucleolar RNA, 132 nt
Organism: Balaenoptera musculus (blue whale)
Lineage: Eukaryota; Metazoa; Chordata; Mammalia; Artiodactyla; Balaenopteridae
Source: Ensembl